This 513-nucleotide long non-coding RNA is filed under the name Lynx pardinus (Iberian lynx). Lineage: Eukaryota; Metazoa; Chordata; Mammalia; Carnivora; Felidae. The record is from RNAcentral.
AUGAAGAUGGUACUGAAGGUGACGAAGGAAGCCCCUACCCCUUGCUUUGAAGGUCAGAAAGUGGUGCUGAAAGGCAUCCACAAUCACACAAAAAAAGAAGAUAUGCAAGUUACCUACAUUCCGACGGCCCAAGACACUGCGUCUUCGAAGGCAGCCCAAAUAUCCUCGAGAGAACGCCCUCAGAAGAAACAAGUUUGACCACUGUGACAUCAUCAAGUUCCCCCUGACUACCGAGUCAGCCAUGAAGAAAAUAGAAGACAACAAUACAUUUGUCUUCAUUGUGGAUGUCAAGGCCAACAAGCACCUAAUCAAACAGGCUGUGAAGAAGCUCUGUGAUGUUGACAUGGCCAAGGUCAACACUCUGGUCAGGCCCGAUGGAGAAAAGAAGGCAUAUGUUUGACUGGCUCCUGACUAUGAUGCUUUGGAUGUUGCCAACAAAAUUGGGAUCAUCUAAACUGAGUCCAGCUGGCUAAAUCUGAAUUUAAACUUUUUCACCAUAAAAAAAGGAUCUGU